Molecule: ribosomal RNA, 318 nt
Filed under: uncultured Sphingobacterium sp.
Lineage: Bacteria; Pseudomonadati; Bacteroidota; Sphingobacteriia; Sphingobacteriales; Sphingobacteriaceae
Description: bacterial SSU rRNA
Rfam family: Bacterial small subunit ribosomal RNA
Source: RNAcentral
GAGUUUGAUCGUGGCUCAGGAUGAACGCUAGCGGCAGGCUUAAUACAUGCAAGUCGUGGGGCAGCAGGGCUGUAGCAAUACAGUCGCUGGCGACCGGCAAACGGGUGCGGAACACGUACGCAACCUUUUCCUCAAGUGGGGGAUAGCCCGGGGAAACCCGAUUAAUACCCCGUAAUAUAAUGAGGUGGCAUCACCUUAUUAUUAUAGCUCCGGCGCUUGAAGAUGGGCGUGCGCCUGAUUAGGUAGUUGGCGGGUAAUGGCCCACAAGCCUACGAUCAGUAACUGGUGUGAGAGCACGACCAGUCACACGGGCACUGA